This 501-nucleotide ribosomal RNA is filed under the name uncultured bacterium. RNAcentral's name for it is "bacterial SSU rRNA". It matches the Rfam family "Bacterial small subunit ribosomal RNA", at positions 30 to 525 of the family's 1533-position model. The record is from RNAcentral.
AUUGAACGCUGGCGGAAUGCUUUACACAUGCAAGUCGAACGGCAGCACGGGGCAACCUGGUGGCGAGUGGCGAACGGGUGAGUAAUACAUCGGAACGUGCCCAAUCGUGGGGGAUAACGUAGCGAAAGUUACGCUAAUACCGCAUACGAUCUACGGAUGAAAGCGGGGGAUCGCAAGACCUCGCGCGAAUGGAGCGGCCGAUAUCAGAUUAGGUAGUUGGUGGGGUAAAGGCUCACCAAGCCAACGAUCUGUAGCUGGUCUGAGAGGACGACCAGCCACACUGGAACUGAGACACGGUCCAGACUCCUACGGGAGGCAGCAGUGGGGAAUUUUGGACAAUGGGCGCAAGCCUGAUCCAGCCAUUCCGCGUGCAGGAUGAAGGCCUCGGUUGUAACUAGCUUUGUACGGUAACGAAACGGCGAGCUCUAAUACAGUUGUCUAAUGACGGUACCGUAACGAAUAAGACACCGGCUAACUACGUAGCCAGCAGCCGCGGUAACG